Molecule: ribosomal RNA, 443 nt
Filed under: uncultured prokaryote
Description: bacterial SSU rRNA
Rfam family: Bacterial small subunit ribosomal RNA
Source: RNAcentral
UGGGGAAUCUUGCGCAAUGGAGGAAACUCUGACGCAGCUACGCCGCGUGCAGGAAGACACCCCUCAGGGGCGUAAACUGCUUUUGUACGGGAAGAACACCCGCCCUCGGGCGGGUCUGACGGUACCGUACGAAUAAGGACCGGCUAACUCCGUGCCAGCAGCCGCGGUAAUACGGAGGGUCCAAGCGUUGUCCGGAAUCACUGGGUGUAAAGGGUGCGCAGGCGAGCGUGUAAGUCAGGGGUGAAAGCCACCGGCCUAACCGGUGAAUUGCCCUUGAUACUGCACGUCUUGAGUCCCGGAGAGGCUAUCGGAAUUCGUGGUGUAGCGGUGAAAUGCGUAAAUAUCACGAGGAACACCUGAUGCGUAGGCAGAUAGCUGGACGGGUACUGACGCUCAGGCACGAAAGCGUGGGGAGCAAACAGGAUUAGAUACCCGCGUAGUCC